This is a long non-coding RNA of Anguilla rostrata (American eel), 3470 nucleotides long. RefSeq lists it as uncharacterized. The transcript has 2 exons. The record is from RefSeq and is a predicted model, not a curated record. NCBI's taxonomy places the organism in Eukaryota, Metazoa, Chordata, Actinopteri, Anguilliformes, Anguillidae.
CAUGACUAAAUUUGCUCCUGUCCAUCAACUGGGUCAUAUAUAGUUCAUUUCAAGAGAGACAGACACGGCUGCAAGGAAAUGUGGAGCGGUUCAAUGCCUUGUGCUGCUCGGCCGUUUCCCUCUCUCUCUCUCUCUCUCUCUCUCUCUCUCUCCCCCUUCCUCUCUCUCCCCUCUCUCUCUCUGUCUCUCUCGCUCCCCCCUCUCUCUCUCUCUCGCUCGCUCGCUCUCUCUCUUUGACCCACUGAUAUUUGCGAACAUAACAAAUGGCCAAGUUCCGCGCGGAGGGGCCAGGGAGCUCCGCGCAGGGAGGCAGAGGAUCAGAGAGGUGAACGGAGAGAGAGAGAGAGAGAGAGAGGGAGGGAAGGAGCCGCGGAGGGGGAGAGAGGGCGAGACGGCUCCCAUUCUUCUCAUAUCUCGCUCCAACUUUUGUGCGCGCGCGACCCGGGGAAGUUACUCUUCCACCCAGUGAGCCACAUCGGCAGCAGCGGCAACUUUUUUCCUCUCCUUUUUUAUUUUUUGGUUUCGUGCUUUUUUUUUUUUCCUCCCUCCCCCCCUCCGGUCUGAUUUUUCUGACAGAUCGCCCCUCGCACGAAACGCGGCCGGCGUGACGCGUGGACAAGUUCUCGGGAGUUAUUUCUCGCUCUCCGUCAGGGCUGGCUCCUGGGACGGGCUCCGGACAUAAGCAGCCACUCACGGUGAGGAAAACUGCUCUGGGCACAGCAAGCCAAGACUCUCAUCAGGCAAGAGGAAUGUCUUCACAACCACAGAGGAAGCUAAUGAUGGUAUUCACUACAGUGGCAAGGAUUGGAGCUUAGACAACCACCAUGCACUGAUAAUCCUGGCUUGAUGGCUUCUUACACAAUCAGGCCUGAACUGUACCUGCAUAUAUACGACACAGCACUCGUCCAGUGAGCAUUGAGGGGGGAUGUGGCUAAAAAAGUGAGGGUCAACUGACAGCAUAGUCUGUCUACAGAUAUGGUGGGUUUGCAAUCAGCCCCCCAGGUAUUGGAGGUUUGCAGGCCAAAGCUGGGCUGAGAACCCAGGGCCAGUACUUCUGCGGUUAAAGGUGUGCCUUGCCACAGCUGUAAGAACUACACCGGCAGCAGCAGAGCCAAAAUGGCGUCUGCAGCACCGAGCACAGCAUGCGUUCCGGCGCAUUGCAGCCAGGGUGCUGCACCACGGCAAAGUCCGAGCUCUCCCCGGUGACUUCAGCGAACAUUCAACGCUGUCGGUGAGUUUGCGCUUCUGACCGAAACCAUCGACCGUUGACUGUACCCUGAGGGUGACCGUUUCACAACCGCGUUGCUAGCGAGGAACCUCAAUACGGGCAAAAAUAAACUCAUGAACGCGUGCAGGCUCACCACUGCGAACACAUACUGCGCCUCAAUCGGAGCACGUUCCCUCACAGCUGUGAGCUUCAAAUCGUAACCAGAGGAAGGGAGGGAGAGCUGCCAGUCAGAGAGAGGGCUCCCAUUUCAGUUGCCUCUUCACAAACCAUAAUGGCUGCAAUAAACAUUCAUUGCUGUCGGUGGGUUUUACAUGAAAUCAACUCACUGAUCAAUGAAUGCAAACUGCGGUGCAAACUCCUCGAGGCCCGUGACGGAAGCAUCCAUCGCCCGCGGCGACGGCGGACGGCCAGCCCGCCGCCUGCAGUGAACCGAGUCCCGAAGCGAACCCCGUCGAGUUUUACAACUUUAACUUUCUGAAUCGUGUGAACCACCCAACUGGAACACGGUCGCGAGCGUUUAACCAAACAACGCACUUCCGUCCUUUUUUACCACCAUAUUUAUCGGGGAACAGCCCGACUUUCAGUAGACCUCAAAUAAAAAGAAAUGAAAAAUGAAACGAUCAGCAUGUUCCCAUAGUUUUAAAAAAGCCACCUCUCUUUUUUUAAUUGAAAGGCAUACAGUCAUGUGGAAACACGCUAACUGUAAUUGGCCAGUUAAGUUUUGUAACCAUGCUGGGAAAUUUUUAACACACUGACAUUUUCCAGUCAUUCCAGACCAAAAGCGCAUUUAAACAUUUUUAUUUUUUUUUAUUCCUUUUUCCACUUAUACAGUGGAAAGUGUGCGACGGCCCAGUGAACACCAGGCCACAUUUAGUCCCAGUCACUGUCUGCCAAAAAAAGGUUUGUUUUGGGAACAUAAGGCUGAAAGUAGCCUACGUGUAGGGUUUGUUGUUCGAAAGAGGAACUGUCAAGGUUUCAUUUCCACUUGCUUGUCAACAUGAUUGUUUGAUUGCUGAGAAGACAAACCCAGAACACUGAGGAUUUGAAAGACCUUUCCUUCAACGCACCGGCAGACGGUGAACUUAUAAGGUGAAAGUCUCUGCCAAUGGCGCAGAGCUAGCUAGCUAGCUAGCUCCCCCCGCGCGGAGCUCCGCGCCGCACAGCUGAGAUCUGUCUGACAGCUGCGCUGGGAGGAAAAAAAAAAAAACCGGUCGCAACCCCGCACUUCAGAGAGCCAAUAAAACCCGAGUGUUCCCGCUGCCAGCACGGAAAAACGAUCCAAACAACGGUAAGAGCGCACAUCUGCUGCAGUGCGCUCCGUUUCAGCAAACGCGCGGAAAAGCCUUCACAUGAGCGUGUCUCAAGUUGCCUUUUUUCCCUCUUUUUUUUCUUUUUUGGGGGGGGGGGAGAAUGGGUCAAGGACGCUGGAGUUUGUGCUUCUGUUCACAGUCUCAGAAGUGUUCAGUUCACCAGCUUGGUGUCUUUAUGGGCCACUGCCACCCUGACUCCUUCUAGACCAGGGACAGGGCAGUAAACUGUUAAUAUAGAGUUGUAGGGCACAUUACAGAAAUAUCUGGAAAUCGCUGGAACAAUAUUGUAUUUUGCAACACAAAAAAAAGAAGAAAAAAAACACUUUCAAAAACACGACACAGAACUACGUCGAUGAAAAAGCAUUAUCGCAGCAGUGCCACCACACAGCACGCCCUAAAAUGAGCGUGAUUAACAAAGAAGGAAGAAAAGAAUCAAUAAGCAUUAAUCUUACUGUAAGAAAAUGCCACGCAAAAAAGAACUGCGUUUAUAAGCACCGUACACGGGGGGGGGGGGGGGGGGCAAUAAAGCUCCAGGUGAUAAAUGUCCUUCCAGAGUUCAGUACAGCCCAUGCCUGUGGGAGACUGCCAGCACACCAGGCUAUGCGUGAUUCCACCUUAUCAGAGCGCAUUCAUUCCUCACACCCAGCGAUGACAUUACAAACACUACCAUAGGCGUAUUUCAUCACAGCCAUUUUGCUGCACGUGAAAACCUUUUUUUAAAGCCCGUCAGGCUGGUCCGUGUUUUCAGUUCUUUUAUUUACUUUGUAUUAUGUGUCUAGAGAUAUCAACCCACAUUCUUUUAUCCAUUCAGUAGUGUGUUCACAUAUUUUAUGCACAAAUUUAUUUUCCUUGUUAUUGUAAGCUUCUAGAAUGAAAUGAUCGCUUUCAUAAUGUAAUUGGCUCAAUAAAGUUGCCCUCAAAUAUGGUCAUUA